AAACCGUUCAGGGGUAAACCUGAGGAACCCGAAAGAUCGAAUGGGAAGAUUCAGCGUCAGCGGCGCUAACUCGGCGGAUCGUGCGUCGUCUCGGACUUCGGUCUUGGGACGCGUAAUCUUUCCAUGCCUUGUUUGGCGUCGUCGUCGUGCACUUCUCCCCUAGUAGAACGUCGCGACCCGUUGGGUGUCGGUCUACGGUCCGAGCGGUAGACUGUCGCGUCGCUUCGGCGCACGCGGCAGACCCUCGGUCACCCGGCCGGCUGCCCGGCGGUCGAACUUAUAAGGUAUCUUGCCGCAAUUAUCGAACUGCGUCGGGCCCGUCGCAAGCGAGGCCAGUGUCUUACGGAGUUACGGACCCGGUGCCGUACCCGUGGCUGGCCAGCUGUUGGCAGGCGGAGUCCUUUGACGGGCAAUACACAAUGAUACCGGUCUGCGACGCUACUGCUUUGGGUACUCUCAGGACCCGUCUUGAAACACGGACCAAGGAGUCUAACAUGUGCGCGAGUCAUUGGGACUCUAAAACCUAAAGGCGCAAUGAAAGUGAAGGUCGUACUAAGGUCGACCGAGGGAGGAUGGGCCGCGUUUACGCGCGGCUCCGCACUCCCGGGGCGUCUCGUUCUCAUUGCGAGAAGAGGCGCACCCAGAGCGUACACGUUGGGACCCGAAAGAUGGUGAACUAUGCCUGGUCAGGACGAAGUCAGGGGAAACCCUGAUGGAGGUCCGUAGCGAUUCUGACGUGCAAAUCGAUCGUCGGAACUGGGUAUAGGGGCGAAAGACUAAUCGA
RNAcentral lists this ribosomal RNA (784 nucleotides) under Polistes metricus. RNAcentral's name for it is "eukaryotic LSU rRNA". It matches the Rfam family "Eukaryotic large subunit ribosomal RNA", at positions 402 to 938 of the family's 3401-position model. Lineage: Eukaryota; Metazoa; Arthropoda; Insecta; Hymenoptera; Vespidae. The record is from RNAcentral.